GACGAACCGUGCGAACGUUGUUCGGAAUCACUGGGCUUAAAGGGCGCGUAGGCGGCUGGGUAAGUCUCGGGUGAAAUCUUUCGGCUCAACCGGAAACGUGCCUGGGAUACUGCUCAGCUAGAGGGAGGUAGGGGCGGACGGAACUUCCGGUGGAGCGGUGAAAUGCGUAGAUAUCGGGAGGAACACCAGUGGCGAAGGCGACUACCUGGCCUGUUCUUGACGCUGAGGCGCGAAAGCUAGGGGAGCAAACGGG
Molecule: ribosomal RNA, 253 nt
Filed under: uncultured bacterium
Lineage: Bacteria
Description: partial 16S ribosomal RNA
Rfam family: Bacterial small subunit ribosomal RNA
Source: RNAcentral